GUGAAUCAUCGAAUCUUUGAACGCACCUUGCACUCUCUGGUAUUCCGGAGAGUAUGCCUGUUCGAGUGUCGUGAAGUUCUCAAACUCUCAGCUUUGCGGCUGACCGUUUGGAGUUGGAGCCUGUCGGCGAGAGUCGACUGCUCUGAAAUGUAUUAGCCAUUACCACGAUCGGCUGAAGUGUAAUAAAUCUUUGUUCACUAACGCCAGUCUACGGUGAAGGCUCAUAGAAACCCAAUUUAUUCACCUUUGACCUCGAAUCAGGUAGGAUUACCCGCUGAACUUAAGCAUAUCAAUAAGCGG
Molecule: unclassified non-coding RNA, 300 nt
Filed under: uncultured Basidiomycota
Lineage: Eukaryota; Fungi; Basidiomycota
Description: sequence contains 5.8S rRNA gene, ITS2
Rfam family: 5.8S ribosomal RNA (bases 1-71)
Source: RNAcentral